AACGGAAAGGCCCUUCGGGGUACUCGAGUGGCGAACGGGUGAGUAACACGUGGGUGAUCUGCCCUGCACUUUGGGAUAAGCCUGGGAAACUGGGUCUAAUACCGAAUAUACCCUGCUGGUCGCAUGGCCUGGUGGGGGAAAGCUUUUGCGGUGUGGGAUGGGCCCGCGGCCUAUCAGCUUGUUGGUGGGGUGAUGGCCUACCAAGGCGACGACGGGUAGCCGGCCUGAGAGGGUGACCGGCCACACUGGGACUGAGAUACGGCCCAGACUCCUACGGGAGGCAGCAGUGGGGAAUAUUGCACAAUGGGCGCAAGCCUGAUGCAGCGACGCCGCGUGAGGGACGACGGCCUUCGGGUUGUAAACCUCUUUCAGCACAGACGAAGCGCAAGUGACGGUAUGUGCAGAAGAAGGACCG
Molecule: ribosomal RNA, 415 nt
Filed under: actinobacterium BAL270
Lineage: Bacteria; Bacillati; Actinomycetota; Actinomycetes
Description: bacterial SSU rRNA
Rfam family: Bacterial small subunit ribosomal RNA
Source: RNAcentral